AGAAAGGAAAAAAAUUAUUAAAUAUAUCAAAGAGUUACCUAUGAGUAUUACUCCCUCGUUUCGAUUUAAUUGUCGUUGUCGGAAAAAAAAUUUCGUUUCAAAUAAGUGUUGUUUUAGAGUUUCAAUGCAAAAUUUAUUAAUAAAAUUUUUCACUAUUUUUUUUAUUGAUUGAAAAAUGGUUAGAUGUAUAGGUAAUUGUGUUUUUGUUUUGGAAAUAUACAAAAUCAUAUGUUGUGUGCAUAAAAACAAUUAAAAUGAAACGGAGGGAGUGGUAAUUAUUCGAAUCGUAACUCCAUGCAGGUUUAUGAAACAUUUUUUCUUACAUUAUGCUGAAAUAAAUGACUAACGCAUGGGAGUUAUCAUUACGGAGAUAAAAUUAUGCGAAAGUUGGUAUUGUGUUUUGGGACCCAUUUAAUUUUCAGUUUUUUUUUGUUUACAUUUUUUCUUUCAUAAUCAAAAUUUAUAAAUUAAGAUUCCCAAUCAGCGAAUCAAAAAUAUUCAUACAACUCAGAGGGAUCGAUCUCCAAAAUUGAAACAAGGAAUUUCAAGACCCUAGAUGAUUUGUCGGCAAUACUUCUUCACAAUUUUUUACCGCCACCAACAAACCUUAACAUUUCGUGUGCCAACCGCUAUAAGCCAUUGCAUUUUUACGGAACAACUUUAUAACUCGGGAUUAUCCUACAGAUAUUGGUAAUAUAUUUUAGUUACAAUAAAUGCAAAUCAAAGGAUCACAA
Molecule: long non-coding RNA, 734 nt
Filed under: Brassica napus (rape)
Lineage: Eukaryota; Viridiplantae; Streptophyta; Magnoliopsida; Brassicales; Brassicaceae
Description: long non-coding RNA (BNAP_LNC013213)
Source: RNAcentral